Molecule: long non-coding RNA, 1216 nt
Filed under: Homo sapiens (human)
Lineage: Eukaryota; Metazoa; Chordata; Mammalia; Primates; Hominidae
Description: HSALNT0368204
Source: RNAcentral
CAGCCCUGCUCUCCAGGACCAAGUCUAGUGCAGGAGACAGGCAGUAUUGUGAGGGUGCUAUGGUGGCAUAGAGCAGGGAGGGGCAUUUCAGCCAUGACUUCAGGCAGGGACUGGGAGUUAAGCAGAUGAGGCAGAGGGGCCAACAUGGGUGACACUUAGAGAAGCCUGGAGGAGUAUGAGGAGGCCUGGGAUCUGUAUGCUAGGGGAGAAGAUCCAGCCAGCUCUUUCUCCUGGAACACUCUCUCUCAUCUAGCUAGUAUAAUGGGUAUCCAGGUGGACACAGGACAGACACCCACCUGCUCUUUUCCUCUGGUUCUGGUGGGUAUAGUUGGGAUUCACCUUUCCUCAGCUUACAGCAGUAACAUCAUAAUCUGGGUCUGGGCUUAGGGAAGAGAAGCAAAGCCAGCCUUGUGACCUGCCUUAGUUUUAGCCUAUCUGGCAAACCUAGCUCAGGUAAAGAAGCUAUCUACAUGGUCUAGCCUAAAUCAUGAAUUCUGCUUCAGGGUUUGGGACCAAUGCUUCAGUUAGUAAUAAAGUGUCACUUUGUCUUGCUUUCUCCUCUAGGUAAAUAGCCCCUCAAUAACCUUGCAGGCAGCAAUAAUUUAUCUGGGGCAAGACUCAAGUAUUCCUGGGUUCUUAGCUAACAUAGCAUCUUAUUACCAUGCGAUUAUUACCUCUUCAUUACCAGUCACCUUCCUCUGGAAAGCAUAAUUCUGUGAGAAAAUAUCCCUGCAUAAUAGUGACCCCCUACACACACAUACACACAUACACACACACACACACACACACACAUACUCUGAGGCUACCUGAGAUGCUGCAAUGAAUACUCAGCCCCUAGACACAGGAGGACAGGAGUGUCUGUGAGCAACAGACAAAAGAUUUAUGUGAAAUGGAUUUCUAAGAAGCCAUAGAAAGGGAAGACAUCUGUCUGUCUAGCAGUUAUUAAAAGGCGGGGAAAGAUCUGAGGCUCAUAUGGAUGGUAUAACUAUAAAUUAAUAAAAUAAUUUCUGAACACUUUAUGGAGUCAGCCUCAUACCUCAUUCAUGCAUAAAAUCAGACUAUGAUUGCACAUCUACAACAGAUAUUCAUCAGGCAUGGAUGCUUCUUUCUGUACUUGGGAUUUCCUUUCCCUUUCAACACUGCCCUUCACAUUCAAGUUUUCUGGGGCAGGAGGCACACAGGGAUAUGAGUUUAAUUUAAGUUUGAUGCAAGAGAG